RNAcentral lists this unclassified non-coding RNA (220 nucleotides) under uncultured Actinomycetes bacterium. RNAcentral's name for it is "uncultured actinobacterium contains 16S-23S intergenic spacer region". The record is from RNAcentral. Lineage: Bacteria; Bacillati; Actinomycetota; Actinomycetes.
UCCGAGUUGUCCCCGGCAGUCCUCUUAGAGUCCCCGGCAUUACCCGCUGGCAACUAAGAGCAGGGGUUGCGCUCGUUGCGGCACUUAAGCCAACACCUCACGGCACGAGCUGACGACAGCCAUGCAGCACCUGUGCUAGCCCCUUACGGACACGGGCUUUCACCCGCUUUAACUAGCACGUCAAACCCAGGUAAGGUGGGGAUGACGUUUCCAGGUUAGG